This 429-nucleotide ribosomal RNA is filed under the name bacterium. RNAcentral's name for it is "partial 16S ribosomal RNA". It matches the Rfam family "Bacterial small subunit ribosomal RNA", at positions 355 to 776 of the family's 1533-position model. The record is from RNAcentral.
UAGGGAAUCUUCGGCAAUGGGGGCAACCCUGACCGGCCAAGCCCGCGUGGUUAAAAAGGUUUUUCGGAUCUUAAAGCCCUGUUUUAAGAAAAAAAGGUGGGUGAGAGUGGAAAUUUCCCACGUUGACGUUAACUUACCAGAAAGGGCCGGCUAACUACGUGCCAGCAGCCGCGGUAAUACGUAGGUCCCGAGCGUUGUCCGGAUUUAUUGGGCGUAAAGCGAGCGCAGGCGGUUUAAUAAGUCUGAAGUUAAAGGCAGUGGCUUAACCAUUGUUCGCUUUGGAAACUGUUAAACUUGAGUGCAGAAGGGGAGAGUGGAAUUCCAUGUGUAGCGGUGAAAUGCGUAGAUAUAUGGAGGAACACCGGUGGCGAAAGCGGCUCUCUGGUCUGUAACUGACGCUGAGGCUCGAAAGCGUGGGGAGCAAACAGG